This 196-nucleotide ribosomal RNA is filed under the name uncultured bacterium. RNAcentral's name for it is "partial 16S rRNA". It matches the Rfam family "Bacterial small subunit ribosomal RNA", at positions 338 to 537 of the family's 1533-position model. The record is from RNAcentral.
CCUCACGGGAGGCAGCAGUGAGGAAUCUUCCACAAUGGACGAAAGUCUGAUGGAGCGACACCGCGUGAAGGAUGAAGGCCUAACGGUUGUAAACUUCUUUUCUGAAGGAGCAUAAUGAGAGUACUUCAGGAAUAAGGGACGGCUAAAUACGUGCCAGCAGCCGCGGUAAUACUGNGUGCCAGCAGCCGCGGNAAUA